UACGAAGGGGGCUAGCGUUGUUCGGAAUUACUGGGCGUAAAGCGUGCGCAGGCGGCUUCUCAAGUCAGGGGUGAAAGCCCAGAGCUCAACUCUGGAAUUGCCUUUGAGACUGAGUGGCUUGAGUACGAGAGAGGUGAGUGGAAUUCCCAGUGUAGGGGUGAAAUUCGUAGAUAUUGGGAAGAACACCGGUGGCGAAGGCGGCUCACUGGCUCGUAACUGACGCUGAGGAACGAAAGCUAGGGGAGCAAACAGG
RNAcentral lists this ribosomal RNA (253 nucleotides) under uncultured bacterium. RNAcentral describes it as "partial 16S ribosomal RNA". It matches the Rfam family "Bacterial small subunit ribosomal RNA", at positions 524 to 776 of the family's 1533-position model. The record is from RNAcentral.